AAUAAGAUAAGCUAAAAAAGCUUUUGAGUUCAUACCCCAAAGAUAAAAUAUUUUUCUUAUUA
This 62-nucleotide transfer RNA is filed under the name Thulinius sp. DVL-2010. Its description in RNAcentral is "tRNA-Met". The record is from RNAcentral. Lineage: Eukaryota; Metazoa; Tardigrada; Eutardigrada; Parachela; Doryphoribiidae.